Molecule: long non-coding RNA, 324 nt
Filed under: Fukomys damarensis (Damara mole-rat)
Lineage: Eukaryota; Metazoa; Chordata; Mammalia; Rodentia; Bathyergidae
Description: lncRNA (ENSFDAG00000026483.1)
Source: RNAcentral
CUGCUACACAAUACUUUUCAAAGAUAUCAGGGCUCAAGGGGACACUGAUGUGAUUCUCAAUGCAUUUCUCCAUCUUUAUGUUAACAGAUCAGGGUCUUAUCUAGGUUUUUGGUGUCCUGAACAAAGGAUUGAGCAGGACAUUCAAAAGGGGCAACAAGAUCAAAGAUUUAUUGAAAAUGAAACCACUCCAUAGGGUGGGAACAGAGCCUGGUCAUCUCCUAGGUCCGCAUCAAGGAUGUUCUGUGCGUAAAGGAGCCUGGAAGAGACCCAUGCUUCCUUCCUUGGAAGACUUAUGCAUCUUGCUUGCUGCCCACAUCAGACCUG